Molecule: Y RNA, 111 nt
Filed under: Colobus angolensis palliatus
Lineage: Eukaryota; Metazoa; Chordata; Mammalia; Primates; Cercopithecidae
Description: Y RNA (ENSCANG00000014646.1)
Rfam family: Y RNA
About the family: Y RNAs are components of the Ro ribonucleoprotein particle (Ro RNP), in association with Ro60 and La proteins. The Y RNAs and Ro60 and La proteins are well conserved, but the function of the Ro RNP is not known.
Source: Rfam by way of RNAcentral
GGCUGGUCUGAAGGUAGUGAGUUAUCUCAGUUGAUUAUUCAGUCACUUGCAGAUCAAAUUCCUUGUUCUACUCUUUACCCCCUUCUCACUGCUGCACUUGACUAUUCGAAA